CCGGCACAAACAUCUCUCAAUAUUCUCUCUCUCUAUCUCUCUCAUCGGCACAAACUCCUCUUAUUCUCUCUCCUUGUAUCUUGCAGGCACAAACUCUCAAGCUCUCUCUCUCUCUUCCUCUAUAUCUUGUUGGAAUGAUGGCCCAUCUUCUCAUUCUCUCUCUCUCCAUCUCUCCUUCUUAUCUCUCUCUCUCUCUCAUUGAAACCAUCCACUUGAGAUACCUCCUUGCUCUCUCUUCAUCUCG
This 244-nucleotide long non-coding RNA is filed under the name Elaeis guineensis (African oil palm). Its description in RNAcentral is "long non-coding RNA (EGUI_LNC003084)". Lineage: Eukaryota; Viridiplantae; Streptophyta; Magnoliopsida; Arecales; Arecaceae. The record is from RNAcentral.